Long non-coding RNA from Acinonyx jubatus (cheetah), 475 nucleotides. RefSeq lists it as uncharacterized. Lineage: Eukaryota; Metazoa; Chordata; Mammalia; Carnivora; Felidae. The record is from RefSeq and is a predicted model, not a curated record. The transcript has 3 exons.
GACAUUUAAAUGCUGAAGCAAUGAUCUCAUCUCUUCCUGUAUUCUCCUGCUAAAUAUUGUGGAGGAGGCCUCAUGUCACCUUAGUGACAGUGGGCAAUGAUCAGUAAUGAAGCUAAAAGGUCACCAAACACUAAGGUGCUGUGAUGGCUGGAUCCAGAGCAGUCAUAUGAGAGCAUGAGAAAAAGCACCAUUUGGAAGAUGGCCAAGGAAAAGAGUAAAGAGUCUGGAUGUCUGAUAGUCAUGAAAACUUCAUAUCUGACCUGGAGUGUUUGCAUAUACACCCCUGAGGAAAGAGAGGAAAUAAAAAGCAAGUUGCCAACCUUUUCACUGAGUGAAGUCUACUGUGUGAUUUCUACCUAUUUCUAAUCCGUGAACCCUGCUGAAGAAAAGCAUACAAGCAAACAUAUGAGUAACAUCUUACAAGCCUCUCUACAAAAUAAAUCUCCCACCCUCUGCUAUGCUAAAAGAAGAGUCA